RNAcentral lists this ribosomal RNA (250 nucleotides) under uncultured bacterium. RNAcentral's name for it is "partial 16S ribosomal RNA". It matches the Rfam family "Bacterial small subunit ribosomal RNA", at positions 524 to 772 of the family's 1533-position model. The record is from RNAcentral.
CACGUAGGGGGCAAGCGUUGUCCGGAUUUACUGGGCGUAAAGAGCUCGUAGGCGGUUCAGCAAGUCGGAUGUGACAAUUCCAGGCUCAACCUGGAGAGGUCAUUCGAUACUGCUGUGACUAGAGUCCGGUAGGGGAGUGUGGAAUUCCCGGUGUAGCGGUGGAAUGCGCAGAUAUCGGGAGGAACACCAGUGGCGAAGGCGGCACUCUGGGCCGGAACUGACGCUGAGGAGCGAAAGCGUGGGGAGCGAA